AUUUGUUACUUGAAGCAUGUGACCAGCAGACACCAAUCCUCUGCUGUGAGUGGAGUCCAGAUUGUGACAUCUGGAAGGAAGAGACAUUCGCAAGAAGCUCUCUCCAACAGUUGAAUUUAAAGAGUUAACCCUCUGAGACAAAUACAUUUGAGUGACAGGCAAUUCUGGAAUUUGACCUUGUGACCUUCAGGGCAAGAUGGAAAGUAAUUCACUCACUGCCACGAGAUGGGUGGGAAUAAACUGUUGUUUUUGGGCUCAGAGACUCAUCAGUCUGGAGAAAGGAAUCCUUCUCCUGAAGGAGAUUGGGCUAACCAAGCUCCAUGUCCCACAGUCCACAGAGGAAGCUCCUGAUCUCCAUUGUGCAAGUUUUUCUGGGAGAGCCUGCAGUACAUGCCAAAUUGGUGCAGGAACUUCAUCAUCAUGUGCUGGCACCCCUUGCUACCUUGACAGCAUUUAGAGUCUGAGGAAGAGCAUGCAGGUCAAGAACCUGAGGGCCAUGAAGCACAGCCUGAAGACCAACCAGCAGGAGCAAGACGAGGAGGAGGAGGAAGAGAAAAACGAGGAGGAAGACGAGGAAGGCUACUCGGGGGAUGCCCCAGCUGAGCAUCAAAGUCCUCAUCUCCCAGCUGAACAUAGGAGGAAGGCCAAGUAGAGAAUCAUUUGUAGAGAAAGAUUUUUCAUAAGAAGCCUGAUUAAUUGAUCAUCUCCAGUGUAAACCAAGUGACCAUCUCCACACUCCACUUUUUA
This is a long non-coding RNA of Pristis pectinata (smalltooth sawfish), 747 nucleotides long. RefSeq lists it as uncharacterized. The transcript is spliced from 4 exons. Lineage: Eukaryota; Metazoa; Chordata; Chondrichthyes; Rhinopristiformes; Pristidae. The record is from RefSeq and is a predicted model, not a curated record.